Molecule: ribosomal RNA, 481 nt
Filed under: uncultured bacterium
Lineage: Bacteria
Description: bacterial SSU rRNA
Rfam family: Bacterial small subunit ribosomal RNA
Source: RNAcentral
UUGAACGCUGGCGGCAUGCCUUACACAUGCAAGUCGAACGGCAGCGGACCUUCGGGUGCCGGCGAGUGGCGAACGGGUGAGUAAUAUAUCGGAACGUACCUUUCAGUGGGGGAUAACGUAGCGAAAGUUACGCUAAUACCGCAUAUUCUGUGAGCAGGAAAGCAGGGGAUCGCAAGACCUUGCGCUGAUUGAGCGGCCGAUAUCAGAUUAGCUAGUUGGUGAGGUAAAGGCUCACCAAGGCGACGAUCUGUAGCGGGUCUGAGAGGAUGAUCCGCCACACUGGAACUGAGACACGGUCCAGACUCCUACGGGAGGCAGCAGUGGGGAAUUUUGGACAAUGGGCGCAAGCCUGAUCCAGCCAUGCCGCGUGAGUGAAGAAGGCCUUCGGGUUGUAAAGCUCUUUCAGCCGGGAAGAAAACGCAUGGGUUAAUACCCUGUGUGGAUGACGGUACCGGAAUAAGAAGCACCGGCUAACUACGUG